This 44-nucleotide transfer RNA is filed under the name Palpitomonas bilix. Its description in RNAcentral is "partial Selenocysteine transfer RNA". The record is from RNAcentral.
GACGCAGGCGAUUCUGGCCCAGACAUCGACGGGGACAAAAGAAA